UCUCUGUCCAUCCACACACAAGGACGUUGGCUCAAUAUGUAAUAACCAUGAGCCAGAGUUGGUUCUAGGGAGAAAGAAAUCAAAGGCGCUGGCAGAGCGGGCAGGCAUUUUCCUGAGGAUGAGGUGCACACAGGUACACACAACAAUGAAGUGUUUGUGGGCGAGGCCCAGGCCAACUCUACCAGCAAAGAGCCGAUGGCCAGACCAUGAGCCGGGUCCUCUCAACUGUGGACUUGGCCCACGUUCUUGCCCUGGGAGAAAUUGCUCCCAAGAGCUGAGGGAGUGGAAAGAGAAGGACUCCUUAGACCCCCGGCCUCAGUUAUCUUCAUCUGUGAAAUGUGAAUAAUGGCGACACCUACUGGAAAUACUGCUGUGAGGAGUUCUUGUAAGGGCAAAUGCCUGGAGUGUGGCAGGCACUCGGUAGUCAUCAAAUCCAGCCCCUGGCAACAGUAGAAAACUGUGCUCCCACUCCAAUGACUUCUGCAGCUGCCAUUCUCCUGUUUCCUUUGCCUGGGAUGUCCUCUAGCCAGCCUCCUCUAUCUGGUGAACUCCCAGACCUUCUCCAAGACUCAGCUCCAAUGGCACCCCCUCUGAGAGGCCAGCCUGGACCCUUCCAGGAACAUGGAAGUGCAGGAUGACACCAUAUGACGCUGUAUACUAAUAAAGAAUCAUAACAUUGUCUGCCAGCCUAACAGCCACGCUGUGGAAUCGGGCAGCCUCGCGUGUACAUCCCGGUCCCACCACUUGCUGCCUAGGUGACCUUGAACAAGUUACUUCAUCACUC
Long non-coding RNA from Neofelis nebulosa (Clouded leopard), 784 nucleotides. RefSeq lists it as uncharacterized. Lineage: Eukaryota; Metazoa; Chordata; Mammalia; Carnivora; Felidae. The transcript has 4 exons. The record is from RefSeq and is a predicted model, not a curated record.